Molecule: transfer RNA, 72 nt
Filed under: Anaerolineales bacterium
Lineage: Bacteria; Bacillati; Chloroflexota; Anaerolineae; Anaerolineales
Description: tRNA-Met
Rfam family: tRNA
About the family: Transfer RNA (tRNA) molecules are approximately 80 nucleotides in length. Their secondary structure includes four short double-helical elements and three loops (D, anti-codon, and T loops). Further hydrogen bonds mediate the characteristic L-shaped molecular structure. tRNAs have two regions of fundamental functional importance: the anti-codon, which is responsible for specific mRNA codon recognition, and the 3' end, to which the tRNAs corresponding amino acid is attached (by aminoacyl-tRNA synthetases). tRNAs cope with the degeneracy of the genetic code in two manners: having more than one tRNA (with a specific anti-codon) for a particular amino acid; and 'wobble' base-pairing, i.e. permitting non-standard base-pairing at the 3rd anti-codon position.
Source: RNAcentral
GGGCCCAUAGCUCAGUGGCAGAGCGGCCGGCUCAUAACCGGUUGGUCCCUGGUUCGAAUCCAGGUGGGCCCA